CUUAUGCGUUGUUGGGUAGGGGAGCGUUCUGUAAGCCUGUGAAGGUGUGCUGUGAGGCAUGCUGGAGGUAUCAGAAGUGCGAAUGCUGACAUAAGUAACGAUAAAGCGGGUGAAAAGCCCGCUCGCCGGAAGACCAAGGGUUCCUGUCCAACGUUAAUCGGGGCAGGGUGAGUCGACCCCUAAGGCGAGGCCGAAAGGCGUAGUCGAUGGGAAACAGGUUAAUAUUCCUGUACUUGGUGUUACUGCGAAGGGGGGACGGAGAAGGCUAUGUUGACCGGGCGACGGUUGUCCCGGUUUAAGCGUGUAGGCUGGUUUUCCAGGCAAAUCCGGAAAAUCAAGGCUGAGGCGUGAUGACGAGGCACUACGGUGCUGAAGCAACAAAUGCCCUGCUUCCAGGAAAAGCCUCUAAGCAUCAGGUAACAUCAAAUCGUACCCCAAACCGACACAGGUGGUCAGGUAGAGAAUACCAAGGCGCUUGAGAGAACUCGGGUGAAGGAACUAGGCAAAAUGGUGCCGUAACUUCGGGAGAAGGCACGCUGAUAUGUAGGUGAAGCGACUUGCUCGUGGAGCUGAAAUCAGUCGAAGAUACCAGCUGGCUGCAACUGUUUAUUAAAAACACAGCACUGUGCAAACACGAAAGUGGACGUAUACGGUGUGACGCCUGCCCGGUGCCGGAAGGUUAAUUGAUGGGGUUAGCGGUAACGCGAAGCUCUUGAUCGAAGCCCCGGUAAACGGCGGCCGUAACUAUAACGGUCCUAAGGUAGCGAAAUUCCUUGUCGGGUAAGUUCCGACCUGCACGAAUGGCGUAAUGAUGGCCAGGCUGUCUCCACCCGAGACUCAGUGAAAUUGAACUCGCUGUGAAGAUGCAGUGUACCCGCGGCAAGACGGAAAGACCCCGUGAACCUUUACUAUAGCUUGACACUGAACAUUGAGCCUUGAUGUGUAGGAUAGGUGGGAGGCUUUGAAGUGUGGACGCCAGUCUGCAUGGAGCCGACCUUGAAAUACCACCCUUUAAUGUUUGAUGUUCUAACGUUGACCCCUAAUCGGGGUUGCGGACAGUGUCUGGUGGGUAGUUUGACUGGGGCGGUCUCCUCCUAAAGAGUAACGGAGGAGCACGAAGGUUGGCUAAUCCUGGUCGGACAUCAGGAGGUUAGUGCAAUGGCAUAAGCCAGCUUGACUGCGAGCGUGACGGCGCGAGCAGGUGCGAAAGCAGGUCAUAGUGAUCCGGUGGUUCUGAAUGGAAGGGCCAUCGCUCAACGGAUAAAAGGUACUCCGGGGAUAACAGGCUGAUACCGCCCAAGAGUUCAUAUCGACGGCGGUGUUUGGCACCUCGAUGUCGGCUCAUCACAUCCUGGGGCUGAAGUAGGUCCCAAGGGUAUGGCUGUUCGCCAUUUAAAGUGGUACGCGAGCUGGGUUUAGAACGUCGUGAGACAGUUCGGUCCCUAUCUGCCGUGGGCGCUGGAGAACUGAGGGGGGCUGCUCCUAGUACGAGAGGACCGGAGUGGACGCAUCACUGGUGUUCGGGUUGUCAUGCCAAUGGCACUGCCCGGUAGCUAAAUGCGGAAGAGAUAAGUGCUGAAAGCAUCUAAGCACGAAACUUGCCCCGAGAUGAGUUCUCCCUGACUCCUUGAGAGUCCUGAAGGAACGUUGAAGACGACGACGUUGAUAGGCCGGGUGUGUAAGCGCAGCGAUGCGUUGAGCUAACCGGUACUAAUGAACCGUGAGGCUUAACCUU
RNAcentral lists this ribosomal RNA (1735 nucleotides) under Escherichia coli. Its description in RNAcentral is "partial 23S ribosomal RNA". It matches the Rfam family "Bacterial large subunit ribosomal RNA", at positions 1213 to 2925 of the family's 2925-position model. Lineage: Bacteria; Pseudomonadati; Pseudomonadota; Gammaproteobacteria; Enterobacterales; Enterobacteriaceae. The record is from RNAcentral.